GAUGAACGCUGGCGGCGUGCUUAACACAUGCAAGUCGAACGGUGAAGCAGGAGCUUGCUCUUGUGGAUCAGUGGCGAACGGGUGAGUAACACGUGAGCAACCUGCCCCUGACUCUGGGAUAAGCGCUGGAAACGGCGUCUAAUACUGGAUAUGUGAUGUGACCGCAUGGUCUGCAUCUGGAAAGAAUUUCGGUUGGGGAUGGGCUCGCGGCCUAUCGGCUUGUUGGUGAGGUAAUGGCUCACCAAGGCGUCGACGGGUAGCCGGCCUGAGAGGGUGACCGGCCACACUGGGACUGAGACACGGCCCAGACUCCUACGGGAGGCAGCAGUGAGGAAUAUUGCACAAUGGGCGGAAGCCUGAUGCAGCAACGCCGCGUGAGGGAUGACGGCCUUCGGGUUGUAAACCUCUUUUAGCAGGGAAGAAGCGAAAGUGACGGUACCUGCAGAAAAAGCACCGGCUAACUACGUGCCAGCCGCCGCAGUAA
RNAcentral lists this ribosomal RNA (484 nucleotides) under uncultured bacterium. Its description in RNAcentral is "partial 16S ribosomal RNA". It matches the Rfam family "Bacterial small subunit ribosomal RNA", at positions 28 to 523 of the family's 1533-position model. The record is from RNAcentral.